AAGAGUCUGGCCUGCCCGGUGAUUUUUUUAACGGCCGCGGUACUUUGACCGUGCAAAGGUAGCAUAAUCAAUUGCCUUAUAAUUGAAGGCUAGUAUGAAAGGUUUAACGAAAGUUAAGCUGUCUUUUUUUAAAUAAAAAGAAAUUAACUUAUAAGUGCAAAGGCUUAUAUGUAACUAAAAGACAAGAAGACCCUAUUGAGCUUAUAAAAAUAUUUAAGAUCAAAGUAUAUAAAAAUUAUAAUCUUUCAGAAUUUUUAGUUGGGGCGACUUAGGAAUAAAUAUAACUUCCUAGUAUUAAAAUUACUUUUAUGUUUUUAUCCAAAAAUUUUUGAUUAUCAGAAUUAGUUACCAUAGGGAUAACAGCAUAAUCUUUCUUAGGAGUUCUAAUCGAAAGAAAGGAUUGUGACCUCGAUGUUGGACUAGAAUAUCCUAAAGGUGCAGAAGCUUUUAAGGGUUGGUCUGUUCG
Molecule: ribosomal RNA, 466 nt
Filed under: Pomacea paludosa
Lineage: Eukaryota; Metazoa; Mollusca; Gastropoda; Architaenioglossa; Ampullariidae
Description: partial 16S ribosomal RNA
Rfam family: Bacterial large subunit ribosomal RNA
Source: RNAcentral